GACGAACGCUGGCGGCGUGCUUAACACAUGCGAGUCGAACGGUGAAGGGACCGGUUUUUGCUGGUUCUGGAUGAGUGGCGAACGGGUGAGUAACACGUGAGUAACCUGCUCCCUUCUUCUGGAUAACCGCAUGAAAGUGUGGCUAUUACGGGAUAUUCUGCGCCUGCUGCAUGGUGGGUGUGGGAAAGAUAUUGUUUCGGUGGGGGAUGGGCUGGCGGCCUAUCAGCUUGUUGGUGGGGUGAUGGCCUACCAAGGCGGUGACGGGUAGCCGGCCUGAGAGGGUGGACGGUCACACUGGGACUGAGACACGGCCCAGACUCCUACGGGAGGCAGCAGUGGGUAAUAUUGCACGAUGGGCGCAAGCCUGAUGCAGCGACGCCGCGUGAGAGAUGGAGGCCUUCGGGUUGUAAACCUCUUUCGCCAGUGAAGCAGGCCUGUCCCUUUUGUGGGUGGGUUGACGGUAGCUGGAGAAGAAGCGCCGGCUAACUACGUG
RNAcentral lists this ribosomal RNA (493 nucleotides) under uncultured bacterium. RNAcentral's name for it is "partial 16S ribosomal RNA". It matches the Rfam family "Bacterial small subunit ribosomal RNA", at positions 28 to 507 of the family's 1533-position model. The record is from RNAcentral.